UCUUCUGCGUUUGGAGUUGCUCCCCCCAACCCCGGGCUCGUCGCUUUCUCCAUCCCGACCCACGCGGGGCGCGGGGACAACACAGGUCGCGGAGGAGCGUUGCCAUUCAAGUGACUGCAGCAGCAGCGGCAGCGGCGGCAGCGCCUCGGUUCCUGAGCCCACCGCAGGCUGAAGGCAUUGCGCGUAGUCCAUGCCCGUAGAGGAAGUGUGCAGAUGGGAUUAACGUCCACAUGGAGAUAUGGAAGAGGACCGGGGAUUGGUACCGUAACCAUGGUCAGCUGGGGUCGUUUCAUCUGCCUGGUCGUGGUCACCAUGGCAACCUUGUCCCUGGCCCGGCCCUCCUUCAGUUUAGUUGAGGAUACCACGUUAGAGCCAGAAGAGCCACCAACCAAAUACCAAAUCUCUCAACCAGAAGUGUACGUGGCUGCACCAGGGGAGUCGCUAGAGGUGCGCUGCCUGUUGAAAGAUGCCGCCGUGAUCAGUUGGACUAAGGAUGGGGUGCACUUGGGGCCCAACAAUAGGACAGUGCUUAUUGGGGAGUACUUGCAGAUAAAGGGCGCCACGCCUAGAGACUCCGGCCUCUAUGCUUGUACUGCCAGUAGGACUGUAGACAGUGAAACUUGGUACUUCAUGGUGAAUGUCACAGAUGCCAUCUCAUCGGGAGAUGAUGAGGAUGACACCGAUGGUGUGGAAGAUUUUGUCAGUGAGAACAGUAACAACAAGAGAGCACCAUACUGGACCAACACAGAAAAGAUGGAAAAGCGGCUCCAUGCUGUGCCUGCGGCCAACACUGUCAAGUUUCGCUGCCCAGCCGGGGGGAACCCAACGCCAACCAUGCGGUGGCUGAAAAACGGGAAGGAGUUUAAGCAGGAGCAUCGCAUUGGAGGCUACAAGGUACGAAACCAGCACUGGAGCCUCAUUAUGGAAAGUGUGGUCCCAUCUGACAAGGGAAAUUAUACCUGUGUGGUGGAGAAUGAAUACGGGUCCAUCAAUCACACGUACCACCUGGAUGUUGUGGAGCGAUCGCCUCACCGGCCCAUCCUCCAAGCCGGACUGCCGGCAAAUGCCUCCACAGUGGUCGGAGGAGACGUAGAGUUUGUCUGCAAGGUUUACAGUGAUGCCCAGCCCCACAUCCAGUGGAUCAAGCACGUGGAAAAGAACGGCAGUAAAUACGGGCCCGACGGGCUGCCCUACCUCAAGGUUCUCAAGCACUCGGGGAUAAAUAGUUCCAAUGCAGAAGUGCUGGCUCUGUUCAAUGUGACCGAGGCGGAUGCUGGGGAAUAUAUAUGUAAGGUCUCCAAUUAUAUAGGGCAGGCCAACCAGUCUGCCUGGCUCACUGUCCUGCCAAAACAGCAAGGCCGCCGGUGUUAACACCACGGACAAAGAGAUUGAGGUUCUCUAUAUUCGGAAUGUAACUUUUGAGGACGCUGGGGAAUAUACGUGCUUGGCGGGUAAUUCUAUUGGGAUAUCCUUUCACUCUGCAUGGU
Molecule: small RNA, 1487 nt
Filed under: Pan troglodytes (chimpanzee)
Lineage: Eukaryota; Metazoa; Chordata; Mammalia; Primates; Hominidae
Description: processed transcript
Source: RNAcentral